GACGAACGCUGGCGGCGUGCUUAACACAUGCAAGUCGAGCGGCGCGGCGAACGGGUGAGUAACGCGUGAGUAACUGCCCCCCUCUCUGGGAUAACAGUUGGAAACGGCUACUAAUACCGGAUAGUGGGGGAUGACUCGCGUCCUAUCAGCUUGUUGGUGGGGUAGUGGCCUACCAAGGCGACGACGGGUAGCCGGCCUGAGAGGGCGCCCGGCCACAUUGGGCUGAGAUACGGCCCAAACGCGUACGGGAGGCAGCGGUGGGGAAUAUGGCCCAAUGGGGGAAACCCUGAUGAAGAAACGCCGGGUGCGGGAUGACGGGCUUCGGGUUAGAAACCGCUUUCAGCCAUGACGCGGUAGUGGAAGAAGAAGCACCGGCUAACUACGUGCCAGCAGCCGCGGUAAUAC
This 405-nucleotide ribosomal RNA is filed under the name uncultured bacterium. Its description in RNAcentral is "partial 16S ribosomal RNA". It matches the Rfam family "Bacterial small subunit ribosomal RNA", at positions 28 to 526 of the family's 1533-position model. The record is from RNAcentral.